Tachysurus vachellii is the source of this 1164-nucleotide long non-coding RNA. RefSeq lists it as uncharacterized. Lineage: Eukaryota; Metazoa; Chordata; Actinopteri; Siluriformes; Bagridae. The transcript has 2 exons. The record is from RefSeq and is a predicted model, not a curated record.
CAGGACUUCAGUUCCUAUGGGUUGUUUAUGUAACUUGUUGGAAGAUAAGAGGUAAAUUGUACAGGCUGCUGCUUUCAGAAUUCUCUGGUAUCAUUCAGAAUUCAUUGUUCCAUCAAUGAUUGGAAGCUGUUCUGGCCCAGAUGCAGCAAGUCAGGCCCAAAGCAUGAUACUACCACCACCAUGUUUCACUGAAGAUAUAAGGUUAUUAUGCUGGCAUGCAAAAUUUCCCUUUGUCCCAAAAUAAUGCUUCUCAUUUAAACUAAAAAGUUUUAUCUUGGUCUCAUUUGUCAUUCAUUCAUUCAUUUUCUACUGCUUAUCCGAACUACCUCGGGUCACGGGGAGCCUGUGCCUAUCUCAGGCGUCAUUGGGCAACAAGGCAGGAUACACCCUGGAUGGAGUGCCAACCCAUCGCAGGGCACACACACACACUCUCAUUCACUCACGCAAUCACACACUCAGGACAAUUUUCCAGAGAUGCCAAUCAACCUACCAUGCAUGUCUUUGGACCAGACGAGGAAACCGGAGUACACGGAGGAAACCCCCGAGGCACGGGGAGAACAUGCAAACUCCACACACACAAGGUGGAGGUGGGAAUCGAACCCCGACCCUGGAGGUGUGAGGCGAACGUGCUAACCACUAAGCCACCGUGCCCCCCCUCUCAUUUGUCCAAAAUUAUUUUUCUAAUAGUCCUCUGGCUUGUUCACAUGUUCUUUUUGGAGAGCAGUUAAAACUCUUUAGUUUGCCUAGAAGUUAUUCUGGGUUCCUUUCUGACCCAAAAGUACGGUGGCCAAGAAGUGCAAAAUGUUUUCGGAUUUGUUAAUUUGUUUUCGGAUUUGUUAAUUUGUUUUGCACUUCUCGGCCACCGUACAAAAGACUAUUCCAUGUCUUGCUUUUAGAGUGAUCUUUGUUGAUUGAACACUUCUGUGGACGGUAGCAAUGGUCUUAAAUUUUCUUGCGUUAACACACGUCAUGAACAUCAGACUUUGAUAUAUCUCUUUUCUUUUAAUAAAAUAAAACACUCACGGACACCUGAUUGACAUCCCAUUGACUGCAAAUCAGACUAUAAUUUGAGCCUAAAAUUAAAUACUAAUCCUAGAGUUUCACAUACUUCUGCCUCUCACAGUUAUAUAAUAUUACCUGAAUAAAGUGAAUAUAUUUGACUGA